GACGAACGCUGGCGGCGUGCUUAACACAUGCAAGUCGAACGGAAAGGCCCUGCCUGCAGGGUACUCGAGUGGCGAACGGGUGAGUAACACGUGGGUGAUCUGCCCUGCACUUCGGGAUAGGCCUUGGAAACGGGGUCUAAUACCGGAUAGGAGCCAUUUUUAGUGUGAUGGGUGGAAAGUUUUUUCGGUGUAGGAUGAGCUCGCGGCCUAUCAGCUGGUUGGUGGGGUAAUGGCCUACCAAGGCGGCGACGGGUAGCCGGACUGGGAGGGUGGACGGCCACAUUGGGACUGAGAUACGGCCCCGACCCAUACGGGUGGCGGAAGUAGGGGAGAGUGCGCAAUGGGCGCGAGCCUGAUGCAGAGCCGCCGCGUGGGGGAUGACGGUCUUGGGGUUGGAAACUCCAUUCGCUAGGGACGGAGCUUUUUGUGACGGUACCUAGAUAAGAAGCACCGGCUAACUACGUG
RNAcentral lists this ribosomal RNA (465 nucleotides) under uncultured bacterium. Its description in RNAcentral is "partial 16S ribosomal RNA". It matches the Rfam family "Bacterial small subunit ribosomal RNA", at positions 28 to 507 of the family's 1533-position model. The record is from RNAcentral.